RNAcentral lists this unclassified non-coding RNA (347 nucleotides) under soil metagenome. Its description in RNAcentral is "partial contains 5.8S ribosomal RNA, internal transcribed spacer 2, and large subunit ribosomal RNA". The stretch from base 1 to 120 matches the Rfam family "5.8S ribosomal RNA", at positions 35 to 154 of the family's 154-position model. The record is from RNAcentral.
GAUGAAGAACGCAGCGAAAUGCGAUAAGUAAUGUGAAUUGCAGAAUUCAGUGAAUCAUCGAAUCUUUGAACGCACAUUGCGCCCCCUGGUAUUCCGGGGGGCAUGCCUGUCCGAGCGUCAUUGCUGCCCUCAAGCACGGCUUGUGUGUUGGGCCCCCGUCCCCGGUUUCCCCCGGGGACGGGCCCGAAAGGCAGCGGCGGCACCGCGUCCGGUCCUCGAGCGUAUGGGGCUUUGUCACCCGCUCUGUAGGCCCGGCCGGCGCCAGCCGACACCCAACUUUAUUUCUAAGGUUGACCUCGGAUCAGGUAGGGAUACCCGCUGAACUUAAGCAUAUAAUAAGCGGAGGA